GUGGGGAAUAUUGGACAAUGGGCGAAAGCCUGAUCCAGCCAUGCCGCGUGUGUGAAGAAGGUCUUCGGAUUGUAAAGCACUUUAAGUUGGGAGGAAGGGCAGUAAGUUAAUACCUUGCUGUUUUGACGUUACCGACAGAAUAAGCACCGGCUAACUUCGUGCCAGCAGCCGCGGUAAUACGAAGGGUGAAAGCGUUAAUCGGAAUUACUGGGCGUAAAGCGCGCGUAGGUGGUUUUGUAAGUUGGAGGUGAAAUCCCCGGGCUCAACCUGGGAACUGCCUCCAAAACUGCAUGACUAGAGUACGGUAGAGGGUAGUGGAAUUUCCUGUGUAGCGGUGAAAUGCGUAGAUAUAGGAAGGAACACCAGUGGCGAAGGCGACUACCUGGACUGAUACUGACACUGAGGUGCGAAAGCGUGGGGAGCAAACAGGAUUAGAAACCCUUGUAGUCC
RNAcentral lists this ribosomal RNA (450 nucleotides) under uncultured bacterium. Its description in RNAcentral is "bacterial SSU rRNA". It matches the Rfam family "Bacterial small subunit ribosomal RNA", at positions 354 to 796 of the family's 1533-position model. The record is from RNAcentral.